RNAcentral lists this ribosomal RNA (689 nucleotides) under uncultured bacterium. Its description in RNAcentral is "bacterial SSU rRNA". It matches the Rfam family "Bacterial small subunit ribosomal RNA", at positions 85 to 809 of the family's 1533-position model. The record is from RNAcentral.
UUCGGGGUUAGUGGCGGACGGGUGAGUAACACGUGGGAACGUGCGUUUAGGUGCGGAAUAGCUCCUGGAAACGGGUGGUAAUGCCGAAUGUGCCCUUCGGGGGAAAGAUUUAUCGCCUUUAGAGCGGCCCGCGUCUGAUUAGCUAGUUGGUAGUGUAAUGGACUACCAAGGCUACGAUCAGUAGCUGGUCUGAGAGGAUGAUCAGCCACAUUGGGACUGAGACACGGCCCAAACUCCUACGGGAGGCAGCAGUGGGGAAUCUUGCGCAAUGGGCGAAAGCCUGACGCAGCCAUGCCGCGUGAAUGAUGAAGGUCUUAGGAUUGUAAAAUUCUUUCACCGGGGACGAUAAUGACGGUACCCGGAGAAGAAGCCCCGGCUAACUUCGUGCCAGCAGCCGCGGUAAUACGAAGGGGGCUAGCGUUGCUCGGAAUUACUGGGCGUAAAGGGAGCGUAGGCGGACAUUUAAGUCAGGGGUGAAAUCCCGGGGCUCAACCUCGGAAUUGCCUUUGAUACUGGGUGUCUUGAGUGUGAGAGAGGUAUGUGGAACUCCGAGUGUAGAGGUGAAAUUCGUAGAUAUUCGGAAGAACAUCAGUGGCGAAGGCGACAUACUGGCUCAUUACUGACGCUGAGGCUCGAAAGCGUGGGGAGCAAACAGGAUUAGAUACCCUGGUAGAAUCACUAGUGAAUUC